GCGGGUGUCGUAUAACGGCUAUUAUGUCAGCUUUCCAAGCUGAAGACGAGGGUCCGACUCCCUCUACCCGCUCCA
Molecule: transfer RNA, 75 nt
Filed under: Candidatus Berkelbacteria bacterium CG2_30_43_20
Lineage: Bacteria; Candidatus Berkelbacteria
Also listed under: 3 other names
Description: tRNA-Gly
Rfam family: tRNA
About the family: Transfer RNA (tRNA) molecules are approximately 80 nucleotides in length.
Source: RNAcentral